GAUAGCCCAACCACAUUUUUCUUGGGCAUAUUGGAUGAAAUUUGGAACCUCUGUAGAGACUAUACACGACCAUGCACCUUAGGUGCCAAGUGCAGCAUGAAGGUAAAGCUUAAAAGCCUCUAAUUACAAGAGCUUGUGCAGAAUCUCAUCAAUGGAUUUUGGAGCGUCGUCAGCCGAUAUCCUCAACUGCGAUGUUUCCGCAUCUAGUCAAGCUUCACAAAUUGCACAUUGCCUCGAAAACUUGGAAUCUUCAGCAGCUAACGUCUCGGGGGGCACUCCUACAACAUGCAGUCAGAAUGGCACCCUUCAUAUUUCAUCUAUACCGACUUGGCUUUCCAACGGAAUGUUGGGCCCAAGCACCUCCGACACCCAGUCAACAGGUGCCCUGCCACCGGUAUCGGAGCUGCGACCGGGGCUUCGUGCCGGAGGUGGUUUGCAGCUGUGGGCACUUCUGGCGCAGAUGACCAACACUCAGACUAGCCCAGAGGCGCCUCGUGCUGCGACGACCUCGGAGAAGCAUAUCGAUGACAUGCAAGUCAGCUUAAGUCAAAAUGUUGCAACAUACCAUGUUGACGGCACUAAAAUUCACGACAUCAAUGAACAAUCUCAGCAUCAUGGUUACCAAACGGAAGCCACGUAUUCUUAUUGCGACAUCCAGAGGUCAAACCUUUCUCCUGCUGAAUCGUUGCCAUCUCUUGGAAUUGAUGUUCAGCACAUGGCGCCAACAGAGGCAGUGCUUGACGUAGACAAUAUCACAUCCGCUUACCAGCAAUACUCAUGCAUUCCACUCUUAAACAUUCCAAAUAACAGCGUUUCAUCCGAACAGCCGUCUUCACUAAAUGGGUUAUUGGAUGACGCCCUGUAUUGCACUGCAAAAUCUAAUUGUAACAUUCCAUGCUCACAACAGGUGCACACAGUACAAGAAGAAAGGCCAAGUAACAGCUCUUUGAAAGCAGCCAGUCACACAAACUCUAGUGAUAUGACAAGUAUGCAGCAUAUGGUACUAAACAAGCCAUCUUUCUCCGACACACAGAGGCAGCUUACGGCUGAGGGAGCCUCAAGCCUUUUAUGUGACUCAUUGAAUAAAACUGGAAAUUUAGUUCCUCCUCCAGCCUCCAUAUCUUCAAAGUUACCUCAGCCUGUUGCUUCUCAGGACCUGGACAACAGUAGAAGACAAGACCUUAUUCAAACCUCCAUUCCAAAAAGUGCGCAAAAUGAGCAAGCUGCACAAAAAACUGCUAAGAAGAAUUUUUCUGCUGCAAACCUUGUUGAACAGGUUGUCUGCUAUCGUUGCAAGGUUUGCCUUUUCCUCCAUGAAUCAAAAAUUGAAGCCAUUAAACAUGCAGAGUCCCAUCGUCAAGGCAACAAGAAAUGUGCCCCUGCUAUGCAGAGAAGGUCUGUACAACAAAGCUUUCAACAACCAAUAAAUCGUGCAGAGAAGCGAUUUCUUUGUGGCAAGUGCCGGCGUGGCUUUUUCACACUUGAUGAUUGUUGUCGUCAUUUAAGUCAAGCCCACCAGGCAAAGUCCAAAAAGAUACGCUUGGAGUGGAUAUACACCAACCAGCCUGACCAGAUGCGAGCUUCCACACCAGCUGAAGAGGUGACAUUACUUGAGCCUGCACCCUCCCAAGAUACUGCCCCAAAGCAGCCUGCACCUGCACUACCAGAGUUCAGAGCUGGGCCUCCAUGUCAGGUUGCCGUUGGUUCACUGAAGCAGGCUGUCAAGCCCAUUUGUACAACACCAAAGAAGAAAGAAGAGUGCCGUAAGACGUUGCCAUAUGAGACGAGUGACUCGGCAAUAUCCUCCUCGCAGAUGGCUUGGAGGCAAAAGAUCAACAGGGAACAGGGAAGCUUUAUCUGUGAGCGUAAGGGCUGCAAUGUUCGCUUCCGUGAGCUGGAAAAUCUGGAAUAUCAUAUUAAAUGUCACCGAGCUGACACACCAGACUUCGCCUGUCCUGAGUGCUCAGUGGUCUGUCUUCGAUGGCGCACCAUGACUGGGCAUCUUUGGAGGCACCACUUGUGUGACAUGGAGCUUCAUCAGUGUGACCAGUGCGACUUCCGCACGUACAGUCUGAGCAAGCUGGAAAACCUACACAAGCGCACUCAUGGGGAGGAGCGGCCUUUCCUUUGCGAUGUCUGCGGCAAAGGCUUUAAAACUGGAAAGCAGCUUCGAAACCACAAGGCAAUCCACAGGCAGGGUUCGGGCCAGUGGUCAGCUGUGGCAACAGCUCAGGGAAAUGGUAGCGCCAGCUCAUUGCCAGCAGAGGCAUGCUCUGAAUGUGGGAGGUGCUUCCGUGUACGACGCCUGCUUCAGCUGCACCGCGACUCCGUUCAUAGAAAGCUGCGCCCUUUCCUCUGUUCCUACUGUGGUCACCGGGCAUCAUCACAGAGCUCACUCAAGAUGCACCUCCGCCAGCACACCGGGGAAAAGCCAUUUGCUUGCAACCUCUGCGAGUACCGCACGGGUGACCACAACUCACUGCGCAGGCAUAAGAUGCGUCACUCUGGUACCAAGCCCUACAAGUGCCCUCACUGCCCUUAUGCCUGCAUCCAGUCCAGUACAUUCAAGAGCCACCUGCAUCGCAAGCAUCCAGGUCAAAGUGACAGCUUGCUCUUUGCAUGCCCUCUGUGUUCAUUCCGGACUGUGCGUGAAGACAACUACAAAGCCCACCUAUCUGAUCAUAGUUCUUCAGAGGCACAGUCGCUAAAUGGAGCCUCAGCACCAGCUUCUGCCGAACAGACGCCAAACCUUUCCUCGGCACUCACCUUGGGAGAUAUUGUUGGCUUUGCACAGUCUGCUUCAUGAACCACUACUACCUUCAAGCUAAGCUCUUUCUUUUGCUUCAAUUGUAUUUUUGGGCCUGUUCGCAACAUUUAAGAACCAUUUAAUAUCACAGAACGCUGCCAAAAUAACGAACACACCUCAGAUAAGUCUGCAUAACAUGUAAUACACACCACUGCAUCAGCAUGUCUGCUUAAUUCCAGAGCAAAACAGGCAGUUAUGCAUGACCUGCCGUAUUUUCGUCACCUUGUGUGUGCUUUGGGUGUCAGGAGGUCCAUCCCAGAGUUAAAGCAGACACACGUUAACUCAAUGCAUAGAAGUCCUUGAGCUAUGCGUGCUGUAGAACUAGAAGCAAGAUUUUCCACUUCCGUCGUACAGAAAUGCUGGUUAGUAUGGUUGUCGCACUUUAGCAGCUUUCCUAUUUUAGGUAAGCUCAUGGCUUUCUUUAUUCCUUUAGUUUUUCUCUUUCCCUCUCUGUGGUGAGAUGCUAAAGACAUGCAGUGAGAGGGUAAUGCUCUUUUCAAGAGCAUAUUAAGAAAAUGAAUUUUGUGGAAAGCUGCAAAAAUUCACACAGAAUUCACUUGAUCUUUUUUUUAAUAGCUUCCUACUACUGUAUAGUGGACGCCAACUUUUCCUUUCAUUACUGUGUUAUUGUAGAAAAAGCUGUCAGGAUGUGCGUAAUUCUUCAGUGUUCUUCAUUUGGUGUUACACAGCGGCUGUAUAGUCAAGGUUUAUAGCAAAGGCUGCAGCCAAUGUCCUCAUGGAAACCACCUUUAUGGCGCUGACACUGUUUAUUUAUCUACAUUCAUAGAACCUUGGUGUGGCUUGCCAUUCAUGGUGCCCUUUCUAUGAUUCUUCUGUUUCUAAUUGCUGCAUGUGCCUUGCUUUGAUAACACACCUUCAGAAAACUUGCAUGUGCUACAGCUCAGCUGCCUCCCUUGCUCACUGUGGAUGAGAGAAACCAUGUUUGUCAGAUCUGUGAUGAUAGUGCUGCUCCAUGGAAAACAGUGAGCAUUCAUUUCGCUUUCAGCAUUGUUGCUUUGUCUAAACUGUUAUCAGUUGCAGCACAAGGUAGCCACAGAAAGAAGGGGCUGUUACAAAUAGCAGUGCAUCACAGACUCUUUUUCUGCACUCCAUGAGUGCCAUACCCGCUCUGUUGUAGAGUGUCAUUGAAUGCAGUGUGCGCCUAAAUUGAAUGACUAGAGAGGGAGAAAAAAUGUGACACCCUCAAUCAAAAUGAUCACCCAAUUUUGAACAUAAGGAAAAAUUCUACUUCCACAGUUUUAGUAUACACCCUUUGACUUGCGCACAGAAAUCUUAUGAUUCCAAUCGAUUUUUUAGACCUGAUUGAUUAUUCGGAUUUCCUCGUGACACUGCCAUGUUUUCCAUUUAACUGCUGUAUAACAGCCUCUGAAAGUGUGGAUGCCAUAUGGUGUAACUCAAUUUUUUGGAGAUGAUGUGCAUCACAGAUAUGGUGGCCAUGAACAAAGUUGCUGCCAAUCAGGUUGUCCCCCAUGUGCCACUUUUGUUGGUGAUGUGAUUACAUGACUUUUAGAAUGCUGUAAGGCCGUCACUAGGAGAUUUUUGCCAGAGUGUCUGCACUAAAUUUUCCCCACGGGAUCCCAUCAAAGUGGGGCUAAUUAGGCGUAUGUGUGUAGGCAGUAUGGCCUUGACAAAAAUUUGCCGCCAGCUGAAAAGCAGCAAGCCAUCUCAAGAAGCUCGCCACUAGUAUCUUCGCACCAGUAGACCUAUUUGACAGUUGGACUUGUGAUCACGUGCACGGGCUAAACUAGCUGUUGAAGCAAAGAUCACAGAUCGCUGCCGAUCUGCUGCUGGCAACUACCAUGAACACGUGGCAAGUUUGUGUGCUUACUAGACAGAACAGCAAAAGCUUGCAUAUAGGCAGAGAGCUACAACUGAAUUUGCGCAACACAGUCUAACCCGAUUGCAUCAAACAGCCAGUCGCGCACAUUUGCCUGCACUUCACAAUAAUGCACAGCACACAUUUGACUGCGUGACAGGCAAUUUGGAAAUGCAUCUGCUGUCUCGACCAUCGCGGUAAGGAAAUUAUAGAAAGCGUGAGGUGUGCAUAUACAGUUCACUCUGCUAAGACUAGUGUAUCCUUGCAAUUUUCACACAGCUGCCCAGCAGGAACACCAGUGUGCGUGUGCACAGUUUUCAUACCGGCAGCAGACUGCCAAAUGCUCCACUGCAGAGCCGAUUAAGCAAAGUGUGAUGAUGUUUCAACUUUGUCUGUUUGUUGGUUUGCAGCCAAACUGACUGCACAUUGAUCACCCUUCUGGGAGGCGGGGAAUGACAUGCUUAUCAAAAGUUCAGUUCUCUGCACAGCCUGAACGCAUGAAACGUGAGCAGAUUGGACUGUUAGCAGCACUCUGCUAAAGCUGUCUAUUAUUUCAAUGAUGCAAUACAUGGGGGAAAAUUCAGCAAAUUUUUCCUACCCCUGGCAUUCUAAAGAGCAACCAAUUUGAUUUUACCAUUGAAGUCCCCCCCCCCCCCCUUUUUUUUUUCGGACUACCUGUUUAUUGAGACAUUUUUGCAGCCCCCUGCAAGUCUGAAAAAUCAGUCGGCGACUUUAUAUGCUUUCACAAGUCAUGCAGGAGCAUGGUAAGGCUUUGUCCACAAAUCGCACAUACCCAUGCACAAGUUUUAUGCUUGUCGAUGUAUUUGUGUAUCUGUGGCACAACUUCUAGCUCUGAGUGGAGCCGCAUGCACACUCAAAUAAUAAUAAAUAAAUAAAUAAUUAAAUAAAAUGUAUGACAAACACAUGGCAGUGCUUUCCAACCGUGGUUGAGAUGUUUAAAUCCAUCAGUGGAGGGCCUUAACAGUAGCUAGUCAUGCAAUAAAUAUUUGAACUACUAACUCCCAACUACUGUCUGUAUGGCAACAGGUCCUUGUGUUUGUAUGGAAAACCAGUUACAGUGAGGCAGUUUGUUAUUGUCAGCAUACCAUUUGCAGUGAACACACUGCAUUAGCCACACUGGUGCUUUGCAUCUGUUUGGUAGAUGCACCGGUUGCACACAGCAAUGGUGCGCAGCCUGCAUGGUGUCUUUUUGCGUGCAGGAAAAUCUUCUGUGGGGCAGGCCUAAUGCUAAUGACAGUUUACAGCAGCUAGUGUAACAUUGUUUUAUACUUCUAAUCUGCAUUUCAUUUUAGUAAAUCCCUCCCCUCCUUCCCCCAAAAGCAUGUAUCCGAGAAUCAAGUAAGUACAUAAGCAGAUUACUUAAUGAAAGAGCUCUCUUAUGGUUCAUGGACUAAAAUUCUAGAAGUUCUUGGCAUUUGGUGAGCAGAUUAAAUGCUGCAAACAACACCAUAUAUGAUAUCAAGGAAGGUAAUUAGAACAAGAAAAGGCUAGGUGAUAUGUUGGAAGCAGCUGAAGCAUUCCAUUUUGCCAUUCAUACUGUCUGAAUCUAACAUAGCUCUUGGCUCUACAGCUCUAUAAUAUGAAUUCUGUAAUUAUUGUGUGGAUUCCUAGUUUUAGUUGUAGCGUUAAAGUUGGGCCAUCCUUUAUAUUUCAGAUGUUUAAAAAAAAAGUGACAUGUACGCAACUGCUGCACACCAACAAUUUGCAUGUUUAUUCUGCAAUGGCUUUGCAACAACCUGAAGAAAUUAUCCCUGGAAAAUGUGACUAGUUCUUGCUGUCUGCUGUGAGGGGCACUCCACAAAAGCAGUUUUGGUCCUGCUUGCAGGGACCACAGUUUUUGCCCCUAGUCUAGAUUAUGUCUCUGUGGCAAACUGGAAUGCACUGGUUACUUUGUGGCCUGGGCACUGAGACACUGCAUGUGCUCGACUCUAAAUGCUCUGCAUUCUAUUUGCUUGGUAAGGACGCAACAGGCAUUGCUUGAAUAUUGGGCACUCUUGGCCAUCAUCUGAUGUUGACGAUGGAUUCACUGCUGUGUGGUACAUAGAACUGGUGCCACGUCAGCCAGGCUGCUGUGUGCUUUUGUCUGCUGUUCCUGACAGUUUCUUAUCUUGAUAUGAUCCAGUUCAUUCCAUACUGCGCCCUUUUGGUAUUUGAUGAGCCACAAACAGUGUCCCCCGAUUUUAUAGGGCAGGGCCAGUGUAGUGUAAGAAUUCCUUUCAUUCCAUUCUAUUCCUUUUUUUAUCAUCCACCGUUCACAAUUGGCAAUCACGGUGAUAAUGUGGGAGGAGUGUUGUUCAGACUACCGACAAAGCAUGAAAAGGAACAGCACUGAGAUAGAUUCAUUGCAUAAUCACAGCUCUAGAUGCCAAUGGAACACCCAAGUUUUUGCAAAGACCAGUAUAACCAGCUACCACAUAAGUCACUUUCCAGUUGAUUUAUAUCAUAGAGCUGAGGAAGCUGGCAGCAGGUUGUAAUUCUGGGGCUGUCACCCCAGAAAUUGUUACUAAGUUGCAGGAAUGACCAUCAGUGACAAAUUAAAUUGUAGUUAAAUUUGUCACAGUGUGAGAUGUAUAGGCAAGUGGGCUGUACCGGGAUAUUGUACUCAGGGGUAGUGGCUAUGUUGGUGUGGCAUUUUGAUUAUUUGUACAGUAUAGAAACACCGGGUCAAUGAGUGCUGUCUAUCGGCCUCUGAUCAUGUGUCCUGUAUUGCCGCACUGUACAUAUAUUUAGAGACAGGUUUGGUUGUAGAAUAUGUGAGAGGACCUGCAGCAAAGGUGGUUUACCUGAGGCCAUUGCUAGAGCCUGUGAUAGUAAUGGGUCUCCAAUUGUUCUUUCUGUUAGUUGAAGGGGUAACAGUUGAACGUGAGUAUCUCCCAGGCAGUGGGGUUCAUUAACAAAUGCUGGAAGUACCAGCCUACUGGAUGUAUUUGUUUUCUGGUGUAGCUGACCAUAUUGGUAGAUGUAAGUGUAGUCAUAUUUAAUUACUUAAUGCACUAGUGCAUCAUCCUUGGUUACAGCACUUGUGGUACUAGCUUCUUUUAUACCACUGUCUGUUAAUAGGGGCCCCAGCAAAAUGUGCUUGUGCCUAAGCAGUAGUUUCAGUUCUCCAGGAAAAGAGUCACCACCCAAGCACUUCAUACAGAUGGUUAACCAGCAAAGCUGAAACAUGUGGCCCCAGUGUUUAUCACUGGAAUAAUCCUGAUGGUUCAUUAAAUGACGGCUUGGUAGGCUGCUGGAUCCUCGGUAUGCAGUUGCUGCUUGUGCUGGGCUGCACGAGCCUGUUCUUGUGCCCGGAGUGCAGCAUCGGCACGGCACAGAUGAGCUCGUUCCUGGUUCAGCCCCGGGCGUUGCUGAUAGAAAGCUGCCUGCUCCUCAGGAGUAUAUAUGACACGUGGCCUACCCAUUUCAGAGCUGGAGAGAAACUGCUGUGCACGCGCUCGGCUGCGACGGAGAGCAACGAUGUCAGUACUGGCGCAGCUAAUCCAACACCACCUAGUUAGCACAGGGCCUUUUCACUCCAUGACGUCAUGUUAUCUGGCCUGACUGCCAUAAAAUCUAAUAGGGAUGCUCCCUAGUAGGCAACAGUAAUUUUGACGUCACUGCUUUCAUCACGCCAGCCUUGUCAAUAAAAACUUCAGGCCAAGUAGCGUGACGUCAUGGAUUGGAGUAAACAGGCCUUGUGCUAUCUAGGUGGUGUUGGCUAAUCAUGCGCCUCUCUCUUUCUCUUUCUUUUUUCAUGCACAUGAGGUUGCACUGGAGGAGUUUUCGGUGCACAGGCGACCUAUAGACGGACAGAUGAAUCGGCUAGCCAUAUACAGCUUCACAGUAACAUAGGAAGGAUUUCCAGAGUACUAUUCAUUAGAGUUUUAUCUCAGCACCUUGGUUGAUCACACUUCAUCUGUUUUGAAUUCUCUACAUGCGGUUAUUUCAUGCUCUCACUGCCUUCGGAAGCUGAUGCUACUUAAUUGCAGGUAGUUCUCAUGGUGGUAGUUCAGUGUUUAGUGUUCUCAAAGUGGCGACCUCUGUGUGCAAUGUAAUGUCCGUGUAAUUUUGUCGGCUUGAAAAACUAAUUAUUUGACUGCGCCAAGUUUUUUUAUGUUGGAAUGGGAAACGUAAACAUGAGAACAUUUGACAGAAGUUUCUUUGCUUGUAAACUUGGUCCUUGGCUUUUUAGCUCACAUCACAGUACAUUUGGCUUACCUAUCUUGCUAUGUGACGUAACUCUGUCUUCUACCAGGUGUCACUAUAUUAGUCACUAAGCUGAUGGACACACUUAAACUUUAAAGCUUUCAUGCUCUCUUAUCCCUUUAUGCUCAGUGUGUGUACGGCUUUUGACAAGUUAGCUAUCAGUUCAACAGAGCUGAAGAGUGAUUGCAGUGACCUGUACAAUAAAGUCAUUAUUUGUUGUUUGUUUCAUUGUUUUAAACAUGCAUUUUAGCCUUGCUUCUGGUGACAAUCUAACUUCUGUGCUGUUGUGUGAGAUUUACCCACCUGUUUUUUCGUGUACUUUUGCUACGAAGCUUUUUAAAGAGAGUGUUUGCAUACCAGGCUGGUUUUAGCCAAGUAGAUCGGAUCUUUCUUUUAUUUUGCAUCAUUUUGUGAAGUAAAUUGUUUCAGUUGCGGUUAAAUUGUAACUAAUAGUUGUAGACACAGAGGUUUAGAAGAUCAGGACAGCUCAUUUAAUUCAAGGCAAGUCCUUUUGAAUUUGGGAAAAUCUGUAGAAACCCCUGCAAGGUUUUUACUGGCUACACGAAAUGAGGGCUUACAUGCCACACAUUCAGUUGAUGGUGUAAAGCAGACACAGAGGUGUUUUGCAGUAGAGGAAAAAAGAAUUUAGUGAAAGGUAAACUUGUAUACUGCCACAAGAGCUUGACUUAACUGGCAGUGAUGAUGUACACAUUAAUGUCAAGAGGCCAAAGAAAGGCGGCACCUUGCCCUGCAUAAAUUCAGUUUUUACCAAUGCUGUUAUGAACUUUUUUUGUGUGUGUUUGAUCAAAAGUAUUUUUUGAUGCAAUGUUGAGCCUUAGAAGUUGGUUUAGUUCAGUCUGGUGGUUUGAACAUCAUAGGCUCUUGUGCUAAUCCCUGCCUUUAUAAGAGUGGUAGUCAUCUCAAAUAGCAACUAAGAGGACAGCUCUUGCCUUUGUUUGUUUCGAAUCAGGAGAUGUGUGCUGUUUUAAAUUAGAUUCAGUAGUUUCUGCUAGCAUUUUAUACCACAAAAUUGCGUCGCUUAAUCGGUUUUGAAGGCAGCUAUGUGUGUAUUUUUUUUCACAGUGUCAAAAGAAAUGCAUUUCUUGGCGAAGGCUUGAUUAUUUUUGUCAAAAGUCUAAUUGAGCUAUGUUGGAAAUGUUUCAUAGAAAAAGGGAUUCUGCUACAGUGAGCACUAUUGGUACUAGCGAUGCUGUUUGUAGUUCUUGUGCUUGGUCUUUAUGUAAGAAUGUUGAUAUUGUGGGCACCAUAUGUGUUUUUGAUCCCCUUUACUAUUUCCGUGGUGUUUUUAGUUGCUUUUGUUUUUAGUUGCACUUUACUGCGUAUCUUUGCAAAGGUGAUUCAUGGAGUCUCAUAUCUUCAUUGACCUAGUCCUUUUGUGCAACUGAAUUGUGAUCCAAGUGCCUUCAAGUAACAUUUGUCAUGUACUGUUUUUAUUAAACUGCGGUGACUUGUGGCUGAA
Molecule: RNA transcript, 10332 nt
Organism: Dermacentor andersoni
Lineage: Eukaryota; Metazoa; Arthropoda; Arachnida; Ixodida; Ixodidae
Source: RefSeq, a predicted model, not a curated record